RNAcentral lists this ribosomal RNA (253 nucleotides) under uncultured bacterium. Its description in RNAcentral is "partial 16S ribosomal RNA". It matches the Rfam family "Bacterial small subunit ribosomal RNA", at positions 524 to 776 of the family's 1533-position model. The record is from RNAcentral.
UACGGAGGGUGCAAGCGUUAAUCGGAAUUACUGGGCGUAAAGCGCGCGUAGGCGGUUUUUUAAGUCGGAUGUGAAAGCCCCGGGCUCAACCUGGGAACUGCAUCCGAUACUGGAAGACUAGAAUGCGGGAGAGGGAGGUAGAAUUCCAUGUGUAGCAGUGAAAUGCGUAGAUAUAUGGAGGAAUACCAGUGGCGAAGGCGGCCUCCUGGCUCGACAUUGACGCUGAGGUGCGAAAGCGCGGGGAGCAAACGGG